Long non-coding RNA from Astatotilapia calliptera (eastern happy), 1336 nucleotides. Lineage: Eukaryota; Metazoa; Chordata; Actinopteri; Cichliformes; Cichlidae. The record is from Ensembl.
GCCCUGUGUGCCAUUUCCCAUGCGCAACCUCUACGCCAGCGUGUGCACGUGUGCACAGCCACACACAGCAGCAGAUAGAUACAGUAGAUUUCAUGAAGCUGGAAGCCAUGAAGGAAGCCUGACCAAAGAUUGUGGCAGCGCAGGAAGGAAGUGGAGCACACCCCUGGAUAUGAACAGGAAGCAGCCAGGAAAGAGGACUCUGACAGGACACACACACUCAGAGAGUUAUGGCUCCAGCUUGAACACUGACCAAGCAAAGAAGACAAAAAAGGCACACGCUACCAAGAGGGGCCGUGUCCAAAGCAACUGCGUGGGCCAUCUGCCAAAGAAACUACUCCUAAUCCAACCUUUCUUACUCCCACACUUCGAUGUCUAUUCAGCACUUCAAAAUCUGCACUGUUUGUAUUUUAGUUUUGUAUCUCAGUCAUCAAAGUAACUUUUCCCUUCCACACAUAGACUAUGGACACUCAUAAGGAUGAAUCUGCAACUAUGAAACAAAUUUACAUAAAGGCUGAGCAGGAAUAGGUCACACUGCUCAGUGCUUCUGCUGGGCAGCUCUACUAUUUGUUUUGUUUCUGAUCCUUCUCUCUUCCUUUUUCCAUGUUCCUUGGCUCCAUCAGAUUAGUAUCCAGUUUGUUUUUAUGACUCAGGAUGCUGCACCAUGCUUGUGUAUGUUUUACUACCCCAAAUGUGUGUGUGUGUGUGUGUGUGUGUGUGUGUGUGUGUGUGUGUGUGUGUGUGUGUGUGUGUGUGUGUGUGUGUGUGUGUGUGUGUGUGUGUGUGUGUGUGUGUGUGUCAAGAGGAAACAUAAACUGGAGGACGUAUCGGUCGAGGCCAGAGCAGAGUGUCACACAGGAGUGUCAGAGUGCAGGUUACAUAAUACUGAGGGGCAUUAAGGAGAGGCAGGAGGGGGUCACAUGACCCUCACAGGGUUUCACUUUAGGUCAUUUACUCUGGUAAUACAGCUUAUGGUGUCUCCUGCGAGUAUUUAGGUUUCCAAGACACCCUAUCCGCUCGCUGUAAUGUGUGCUAAACAAAUAAAGUUGCCUGUUACCACUGUGCCAUAGGUUAACUCUCUAGUGCCUGGAAAGAAUGUUUUAAAAUAAAUAAAGUAAAAUCAAAGUUCUUUUUUUUAAUCCAAGCAAAGAUCAGAAAUAUACGUUUUUAAGUAAGUUAAGUGCACACAAACAGUGGCUUCGAUUUAUUAUAUUAGCAUGUAACUCUUAAGACUUCAAUAAGCUGAAAGGUGUCACUGAUGAGAAAAACAUCACUGGAGUACUAAUUAGAACUAAUGUAGAGGAAGCCCAACAUUUUAAGAGGCACACAAUAGCAGUUU